Molecule: transfer RNA, 72 nt
Filed under: Camelus bactrianus (Bactrian camel)
Lineage: Eukaryota; Metazoa; Chordata; Mammalia; Artiodactyla; Camelidae
Also listed under: 2 other names
Rfam family: tRNA
About the family: Transfer RNA (tRNA) molecules are approximately 80 nucleotides in length. Their secondary structure includes four short double-helical elements and three loops (D, anti-codon, and T loops). Further hydrogen bonds mediate the characteristic L-shaped molecular structure. tRNAs have two regions of fundamental functional importance: the anti-codon, which is responsible for specific mRNA codon recognition, and the 3' end, to which the tRNAs corresponding amino acid is attached (by aminoacyl-tRNA synthetases). tRNAs cope with the degeneracy of the genetic code in two manners: having more than one tRNA (with a specific anti-codon) for a particular amino acid; and 'wobble' base-pairing, i.e. permitting non-standard base-pairing at the 3rd anti-codon position.
Source: Rfam by way of RNAcentral
GGUGGUAAAGUUCAGUGGUAGAGCACAUGUUUAGCAUGCAUGAGGUCCUGGGUUCAAUCCCCAGUACCCCCA